GUAUCUUUAGCUCAGCUGGAUAGAGCAACGGCUCUUCUAAGCCGUGGGUCAGGGGGUUCGAAUCCUCUUAAGGUACACCA
RNAcentral lists this transfer RNA (80 nucleotides) under Clostridium perfringens NCTC 8239. Its description in RNAcentral is "tRNA-OTHER". It matches the Rfam family "tRNA". From Rfam's summary of the family: Transfer RNA (tRNA) molecules are approximately 80 nucleotides in length. Their secondary structure includes four short double-helical elements and three loops (D, anti-codon, and T loops). Further hydrogen bonds mediate the characteristic L-shaped molecular structure. tRNAs have two regions of fundamental functional importance: the anti-codon, which is responsible for specific mRNA codon recognition, and the 3' end, to which the tRNAs corresponding amino acid is attached (by aminoacyl-tRNA synthetases). tRNAs cope with the degeneracy of the genetic code in two manners: having more than one tRNA (with a specific anti-codon) for a particular amino acid; and 'wobble' base-pairing, i.e. permitting non-standard base-pairing at the 3rd anti-codon position. The record is from RNAcentral. Lineage: Bacteria; Bacillati; Bacillota; Clostridia; Eubacteriales; Clostridiaceae.